This 392-nucleotide ribosomal RNA is filed under the name uncultured bacterium. RNAcentral describes it as "bacterial SSU rRNA". It matches the Rfam family "Bacterial small subunit ribosomal RNA", at positions 370 to 772 of the family's 1533-position model. The record is from RNAcentral.
AAUGGGCGAAAGCCUGACGCAGCGACGCCGCGUGAGGGACGACGGCCUUCGGGUUGUAAACCUCUUUCAGCAGGGACGAAGCCGCAAGGUGACUGUACCUGCAGAAGAAGCACCGGCUAACUACGUGCCAGCAGCCGCGGUAAUACGUAGGGUGCAAGCGUUGUCCGGAAUUAUUGGGCGUAAAGAGCUCGUAGGCGGUCUGUCGCGUCGGAUGUGAAAACCCAGGGCUCAACUCUGGGCCUGCAUUCGAUACGGGCAGACUAGAGUUCGGCAGGGGAGACUGGAAUUCCUGGUGUAGCGGUGAAAUGCGCAGAUAUCAGGAGGAACACCGGUGGCGAAGGCGGGUCUCUGGGCCGAUACUGACGCUGAGGAGCGAAAGCGUGGGGAGCAAA